AUGGAUAAUCAGGUGUCUCUAACAUGUGCUAGCAUAUAUUGUUUGCAUCUCAAGAUGACCCGGUACACAAAUUUUCUUUCUCUGCGGUACGAUGAUCUUAAUAGAUCAGUAACCUUUAUGAGAAACAAUAUGUUUGUUAUUUUGAUUAUCAUGAUGAUCAUCACUUUGUCAGGUACCAAUGUAUCUUUUGGACGUUGUAUGUUUGUUAUUUUGUCAGUAUUAUAUAUAUUCUUGAACUUUAUUAUUGCUCACUAUGAUACAUAUAAAUUCACUCGGUACAAAAAUAGUAGUCUUGAAAAUUUUGAGCACGCUGUUGCCUGGGUUGAUGAUUAG
This 333-nucleotide ribosomal RNA is filed under the name Triticum aestivum (bread wheat). RNAcentral's name for it is "partial small subunit ribosomal RNA". Lineage: Eukaryota; Viridiplantae; Streptophyta; Magnoliopsida; Poales; Poaceae. The record is from RNAcentral.